RNAcentral lists this ribosomal RNA (322 nucleotides) under uncultured bacterium. Its description in RNAcentral is "bacterial SSU rRNA". It matches the Rfam family "Bacterial small subunit ribosomal RNA", at positions 28 to 334 of the family's 1533-position model. The record is from RNAcentral.
GAUGAACGCUGGCGGCGUGCCUAACACAUGCAAGUCGAGCGAAGCGAUUUAGCGGAAGUUUUCGGAUGGAAGUUAAAUUGACUGAGCGGGCGACGGGUGAGUACGCGUGGUAACCUGCCUCAUACAGGGGGAUAACAGUUAGAAAUGACUGCUAAUACCGCAUAAGCGCACAGCAUUGCAUGAUGCAGUGUGAAAAACUCCGGUGGUAUGAGAUGGACCCGCGUCUGAUUAGCUAGUUGGUGAGGUAAAGGCCCACCAAGGCGACGAUGCAUAGCCGAGUUGAGAGACUGAUCGGCCACAUUGGGACUGAGACACGGCCCAA